Molecule: small nuclear RNA, 83 nt
Filed under: Neogale vison (American mink)
Lineage: Eukaryota; Metazoa; Chordata; Mammalia; Carnivora; Mustelidae
Description: Neovison vison (American mink) U4 spliceosomal RNA (ENSNVIG00000006370.1)
Rfam family: U4 spliceosomal RNA
About the family: U4 small nuclear RNA (U4 snRNA) is a component of the major U2-dependent spliceosome. The structure of U4 snRNA from yeast and human has been reported.
Source: RNAcentral
AAGGAUGUGCAGUGGCAGUAUCGUAGCCAAUGAGGUUUAUCCGAGGCGCGAUUAUUGCUAAUUGAAAACUUUUCCCAGAAAGG